GCGCCAGUAGCUCAGGUGGAUAGAGCAACUGCCUUCUAAGCAGUAGGUCGGGGGUUCGAGUCCCUCCUGGCGUGCCA
Molecule: transfer RNA, 77 nt
Filed under: Clostridiales bacterium
Lineage: Bacteria; Bacillati; Bacillota; Clostridia; Eubacteriales
Also listed under: 1 other name
Description: tRNA-Arg
Rfam family: tRNA
About the family: Transfer RNA (tRNA) molecules are approximately 80 nucleotides in length. Their secondary structure includes four short double-helical elements and three loops (D, anti-codon, and T loops).
Source: RNAcentral